Molecule: ribosomal RNA, 250 nt
Filed under: uncultured bacterium
Lineage: Bacteria
Description: partial 16S ribosomal RNA
Rfam family: Bacterial small subunit ribosomal RNA
Source: RNAcentral
UACAUACUGUGCGAACGUUAUUCGGAUUCACUGGGCUUAAAGGGUGCGUAGGCGGCUUGUUAAGUAGGGUGUGAAAGCCCCCAGCUCAACUGGGGAACUGCACUCUAUACUGGCGAGCUAGAGUGAGAUAGGGGUGUGUGGAACUGCCAGUGGAGCGGUGAAAUGUGUUGAUAUUGGCAGGAACGCCGGUGGCGAAAGCGACACACUGGGUCUCAACUGACGCUGAGGCACGAAAGCCAGGGGAGCGAAC